This 413-nucleotide ribosomal RNA is filed under the name uncultured bacterium. RNAcentral describes it as "bacterial SSU rRNA". It matches the Rfam family "Bacterial small subunit ribosomal RNA", at positions 28 to 433 of the family's 1533-position model. The record is from RNAcentral.
GAUGAACGCUAGCGGCAGGCUUAAUACAUGCAAGUCGAGGGGCAGCAUGGGUGUAGCAAUACACUUGAUGGCGACCGGCAAACGGGUGCGGAACACGUACAGAACCUUCCUUCGAGCGGGGAAUAGCCCAGAGAAAUUUGGAUUAAUACCCCAUAGUAUAUUGAAGAGGCAUCUCUUUAAUAUUAAAGAUCUAUCACUUGAAGAUGGCUGUGCGGCNGAUUAGAUAGUUGGCGGGGUAACGGCCCACCAAGUCUACGAUCAGUAACUGGUGUGAGAGCACGACCAGUCACACGGGCACUGAGACACGGGCCCGACUCCUACGGGAGGCAGCAGUAAGGAAUAUUGGGCAAUGGAGGCAACUCUGACCCAGCCAUGCCGCGUGGAGGAUGAAGGCCCUCUGGGUUGUAAACUUC